GAGGACUGAAGUUUCUCGCAAUUAAAAUUUAUCAGUUUUACUUUCUGCUCUCUGGAAACGCCUGCUUCUUUUUUACCUGAGAGCAUUUUUUCGCAUUCUGAUUUCGUUAGUUUAGAUUUUGAAUAUCUUGUCCAGUUAGUAGGAGUGCCACCUUCCUUUUCAAUAGUGGCGGUAAUUUU
Molecule: non-coding RNA, 179 nt
Organism: Escherichia coli str. K-12 substr. MG1655
Lineage: Bacteria; Pseudomonadati; Pseudomonadota; Gammaproteobacteria; Enterobacterales; Enterobacteriaceae
Source: Rfam